Molecule: non-coding RNA, 402 nt
Organism: Ciona intestinalis (vase tunicate)
Lineage: Eukaryota; Metazoa; Chordata; Ascidiacea; Phlebobranchia; Cionidae
Source: RefSeq, a predicted model, not a curated record
GUAACUUCUUCUUGAGUAACAGUUGGAGUGUUGGAAAUAUUAAUGAAAAAUCUAAAAAUUAUCAAGUUAGAAAAACCUGUCAUAUCAAAUACAUUAUUGAAGUCAGGAACAUUUCCUGGAACGGUCUCUUCAUCAAAUUAUCCAACAUUUCGUCAGCUUUCUUGCCUGCAUCACUUUGAACAUCCGUAUAUCCAUUUGAUUGCUCUUCUUCGCUUGGAUUAAUCUGAAGUUGUAACCUUUCCCCCUUCUUCAACGAUUGUUGCAUGCAAGACCUGGGGAAAUGGAACAGCUGAUCAAAAGUAUACAAAUUUUAAACAACUACCGAAACAGUAUUUAGGAUGCUUGCAACAUAACAAAAGGAUACCAGAAUUCUGCCGGUUGGUUUGGUUCAACAGUUGGCGG